Molecule: ribosomal RNA, 492 nt
Filed under: uncultured bacterium
Lineage: Bacteria
Description: partial 16S ribosomal RNA
Rfam family: Bacterial small subunit ribosomal RNA
Source: RNAcentral
AGUGAGCGCUGGCGGUAGGCCUAACACAUGCAAGUCGAACGGCAGCACGGUAAGAGCUUGCUCUUACGGGUGGCGAGUGGCGGACGGGUGAGGAAUACAUCGGAAUCUACUUUUUCGUGGGGGAUAACGUAGGGAAGCUUACGCUAAUACCGCAUACGACCUACGGGUGAAAGCAGGGGAUCUUCGGACCUUGCGCGAUUGAAUGAGCCGAUGUCGGAUUAGCUAGUUGGCGGGGUAAAGGCCCACCAAGGCGACGAUCCGUAGCUGGUCUGAGAGGAUGAUCAGCCACACUGGAACUGAGACACGGUCCAGACUCCUACGGGAGGCAGCAGUGGGGAAUAUUGGACAAUGGGCGCAAGCCUGAUCCAGCCAUACCGCGUGGGUGAAGAAGGCCUUCGGGUUGUAAAGCCCUUUUGUUGGGAAAGAAAAGCAGCAGGUUAAUACCCCGCUGUUCUGACGGUACCCAAAGAAUAAGCACCGGCUAACUUCGUG